CAGUAUUUUGCUAAAAAGUCUUAGAAUCAUAGAACUAACUAUAGAAUUAUUAUUAAGAUGAAUUUAAAAACCAAGGUAACAUGUACUGGUAAGUGUGAUUUAAUGUAAUGCUAUCCAUUGUAUUUUGUUGCAGCUUGAAAGAGUGAUGCUGUAGCUACAAGGACAAACAGGGAAGUCAACAUGAAGUUGGUCUUUACUGGUCUGGUGUAAGGUCGACUGCCGACCUCCUCAGUUCUGGACGACUGGAGUCUUUAAGCUAAAGGCAGUGAGGAUCUCAUCAGCUGAUCUCAGAGGACAAGAAGGACGAAUCAGAAUUGGGACAAAAGGCAUUGGGACCAACGGCUGCAAAUCCAAAUUUCUGUAUUUUAUUUUUAUUUUUAAAAUAAAUAAAUAAAUAAAUUGUGUCACAGACAGGCCACAUGACAAAGAGAGUUCUCCUGUAAGAAUUAUUAUCUGAAGAAAACCGUGGGCCUUAGUGGGCAAAUCAGAGCACACUACAAAGGAAAAAAAAAGGAACUAGAUUGAUUUGAGUUAUAUCGUUAAGGUUUCAAAAUGUUUCACAAAGAUAAAAAUGCUAU
Boleophthalmus pectinirostris (great blue-spotted mudskipper) is the source of this 578-nucleotide long non-coding RNA. RefSeq lists it as uncharacterized. NCBI's taxonomy places the organism in Eukaryota, Metazoa, Chordata, Actinopteri, Gobiiformes, Gobiidae. The record is from RefSeq and is a predicted model, not a curated record. The transcript is spliced from 3 exons.